RNAcentral lists this ribosomal RNA (265 nucleotides) under uncultured archaeon. RNAcentral's name for it is "partial 16S ribosomal RNA". It matches the Rfam family "Archaeal small subunit ribosomal RNA", at positions 748 to 1008 of the family's 1478-position model. The record is from RNAcentral.
UGGCCGUAAACGAUGUGGACUUGGUGUUGGGAUGGCUCCGAGCUGCCCCAGUGCCGAAGGGAAGCUGUUAAGUCCACCGCCUGGGAAGUACGGUCGCAAGACUGAAACUUAAAGGAAUUGGCGGGGGGAGGCACCACAACGCGUGGAGCCUGCGGUUUAAUUUGGAUUCAACGCCGGACAUCUCACCAGGGGCGGACAGCAGAAUGAUGGCCAGGUUGAUGACCUUGCUUGACAGGCUGAGAGGAGGUGCAUGGCGUGUGACUGU